Molecule: ribosomal RNA, 580 nt
Filed under: Cladosporium halotolerans
Lineage: Eukaryota; Fungi; Ascomycota; Dothideomycetes; Cladosporiales; Cladosporiaceae
Description: partial large subunit ribosomal RNA
Rfam family: Eukaryotic large subunit ribosomal RNA
Source: RNAcentral
CGGCGAAGUGAAGCAGCAAUAGCUCAAAUUUGAAAUCUGGCGUCUUCGGCGAUCCGAGUUGUAAUUUGUAGAGGAUGCUUCUGGGCAGCCACCGACCUAAGUUCCUUGGAACAGGACGUCAUAGAGGGUGAGAAUCCCGUAUGCGGUCGGAAAGGCACCCUACACGUAGCUCCUUCGACGAGUCGAGUUGUUUGGGAAUGCAGCUCUAAAUGGGAGGUAAAUUUCUUCUAAAGCUAAAUAUUGGCCAGAGACCGAUAGCGCACAAGUAGAGUGAUCGAAAGAUGAAAAGCACUUUGGAAAGAGAGUUAAAAAGCACGUGAAAUUGUUGAAAGGGAAGGGAUUGCAACCAGACUUGCUCGCGGUGUUCCGCCGGUCUUCUGACCGGUCUACUCGCCGCGUUGCAGGCCAGCAUCGUCUGGUGCCGCUGGAUAAGACUUGAGGAAUGUAGCUCCCUCGGGAGUGUUAUAGCCUCUUGUGAUGCAGCGAGCGCCGGGCGAGGUCCGCGCUUCGGCUAGGAUGCUGGCGUAAUGGUUGUAAUCCGCCCGUCUUGAAACACGGACCAAGGAGUCUAACAUCUAUG